Molecule: ribosomal RNA, 253 nt
Filed under: uncultured bacterium
Lineage: Bacteria
Description: partial 16S ribosomal RNA
Rfam family: Bacterial small subunit ribosomal RNA
Source: RNAcentral
UACAGAGGUCCCAAGCGUUGUUCGGAUUCACUGGGCGUAAAGGGUGCGUAGGUGGCCGGGUAAGUCUGACGUGAAAUCUCCGAGCCUAACUCGGAAACUGCAUCGGAUACUAUCCGGCUUGAGGGUUGGAGGGGGGACUGGAAUACUUGGUGUAGCAGUGAAAUGCGCAGAUAUCAGGAGGAACACCAAUUGCGAAGGCAGCUCGCUGGGACGUUACUGACGCUGAGACGCGAAAGCGUGGGGAGCAAACAGG